GGAAUGGUCAAGAAAGGCCUCUCUGAAGAGAUGUCAAUUGAAAAGAUACCUGAUCUCUAAUUUGGGAAGUAAGCUUUUCAAUAGCUCCUGUAAAAUGGUCAAGCCUUUGUUUGUAAACUUUAGAUGCCUUUUUUAAAGCUACAGUUUUUUGCUUACUUGCUUCUUUCAUCACUAUAGCCUCAUUCUUAUUCAUUCUUGAUUGCAGGUUCCACUUGGCUAUCUUGGUUUCUAAGCUCUAAAAAAAAAAAAUUAGCAACAAUUAAAUUAUUUCAGAACUCCAAUGUUUAUGUAAACAUUGUAAAAAUAUGUACAUAACUGAUAUGGUUUGUGUAUUACUCCAUUCUCACACUGCCAUAAAGAAAUACCCUAGACUGAGUAAUUUAUAAAGGAAAGAAGUUUAAUUGACUCACAGUUCCACAUGGCUGGGAAGAUCUCAGGAAACUUACAAUCAUUGUAGAAGGCAGAGGAAGAAAGGACCUUCUUCACAUGGCGACAGGAGACAGAAGAGUGAGGAGCAAAGGGGGAAGAGCCCCUUAUAAAACCAUCAGGUCUCACGAGAACUCACACACUAUCAUGAGAACAGCAUAGGGAAAACCACCCCCAUGAUCCAAUCACCUCCCACCAGGUCUCUCCCUAGACAUGUGGAGAUUAUAAGGAUUACAAUUCAAAAUGAGAUUUGGGUGGGGACAGAGCCAAACCAUAGCAUUCUGCCCCUUGCCCCUCCUAAAUCUCAUGUCUUCACAUUUCAAAACACAAUCAUGCCUUUCCAACAGUCCUCCAAAGUCUUACUUCAUUCCAGCAUUAACCCAAAAGCCCAAGUCUAAAGUCUCAUCUGAGACAAGGCAAGUCCCUUCUGCCUAGGAGCCAGUAAAAUAAAAAGCAAGUUAAUUACUUCCAAGAAACAAUGGGGGCACAGGUAUUAGGUAAAUGUUCCCAUUCCAAAUGAAAGAAAUUGGCCAAAAAAACGGGGGCUACAGGACCCAUGGAAGUCCAAAAUCCAGCAGGGCAGUCAUUAAAUCUUAAAUCUCCUAAAUAAUCUCCCUUGACUCCAUGUUUCACAUCUAGGUCAUGCUGAUGCAAGGAGUGGGCUCCCAUGGUCUUUGGCAGCUCCAGCCUUAUGGCCUGCAGGGUACAGCCCCCUUCCUAGCUGCUUUCCCAGGCUGGCAUUGAGUAUCUGUGGCUCUUCCAGACACAUGGUGCAAGCUGUCAAUGGAUCUACCAUUCUGGGGUCUGGAGGACUUGUGGCCCUCUUCUCACAGCUCCACUAGGCAGUGCUCCAAUGGGACUCUAUGUGGGGUCUCCAACCCCAUAUUUCUCUUCCUCACUGCCCCAGCAGAGGUUCCCCAUAAGGGCUUCACCCCUGCAGCAAACUUCUGCCUGGACAUCCAGGCACUUCCACACAUCCCCUGAAAUCUAGGCAGAGGUUCCCAAGCCUCAAUUCUUGACUUGUGUGCACCCACAGGCCCAACACCACAUGGAAGUCGCCAAGGCUUGGGGCAUCCACCCUCUGAAGAAAUGGCCUGAGCUAUGCAUUGGCCCCUUUUAGCCACAACUAGAAUGCAGGGCACCAAGUCCCAAGACUGUACAAAGCAGCAAGGUUCUGGGCCCAGCCCACAAAACCACUUUUUCCUCCUAGGCCUCUGGGCCAGUGAUGGGAGGGACUGCCAUGAAGACCUCUGACAUACCCCAGAAACAUUUUCCCCAUUAAUAUUCGGCUUCUCAUUAUUUAUGCCAAUUUAUGCAGACCACUUGAAUUUCUCCCCAGAAAAUGGGUGUUUCUUUUCUAUCGCAUGGGCAGGCUGCAAAUUUUCCAAACUUUUAUGCUCUGUUUCCCUUUUAAAUGUAUGUUCCAAUUUCAAACCUUCUCUCUGUGAAUGCAUAAAACUGAAAGCUUUCAGAAUCAACCAGGUCAUAUCUUGAAUGUUUUUCUGCUUAGAAAUUUCUUCUACCAGAUACCCUAAAUCAUCUCUCUCAAGUUCAAAGUUCACAGAUCUCUAGGGCAGUGGCAAAAUACCGUCAGUCUCUUUGCUAAAGCAUAGCAAGAGUCACCUUUAUUCCAGUUCCCAAGAAGUUCCUCAUCUCUAUCUGAGACCACCUCAGCCAGGACUUCAUUGUCCAUAUCACUAUCAGCAUUUUGCUCAACACCAUUCAACAAGCCUCUAGGAAGUUCCAAGCUCUCCCACAUCUUCCUGUCUUCUUCUGAGCUGUCCAAACUGAUCUAACCUCUGCCCAUUACUUAGUUCCAAAGUCAUUUCCACAUUUUCGGGCAUCUUUAUAGCAAUACCCCACUCUCUGCAGUACCAAUUAACUGUAUUAAUCCAUUCUCACGCUGCUAUAAAGAAAUACCUGAGACUGGGUGAUUUACAAAGGGACAAGUUUUAAUUGACUCACAGUUCCACAUGGCUAGGGAGGCCUCAGGAAACUUCAAUCGUG
RNAcentral lists this long non-coding RNA (2433 nucleotides) under Pan troglodytes (chimpanzee). RNAcentral describes it as "long non-coding RNA NONPTRT000338". The record is from RNAcentral. Lineage: Eukaryota; Metazoa; Chordata; Mammalia; Primates; Hominidae.